RNAcentral lists this ribosomal RNA (329 nucleotides) under uncultured eukaryote. RNAcentral's name for it is "partial 18S ribosomal RNA". It matches the Rfam family "Eukaryotic small subunit ribosomal RNA", at positions 1470 to 1796 of the family's 1831-position model. The record is from RNAcentral.
CCCUUAGAUGUCCUGGGCCGCACGCGCGCUACACUGAGUGUCUGAGAUACGAGUCUGCCUGGUCCGGCAAGGUCUAGGUAAUCGCUAAAAGACACAUCAUGCUUGGGAUAGAUUAUUGCAAAUAUUAAUCUUGAACGAGGAAUUCCUAGUAAGCGCAAGUCAACAGCUUGCGUUGAUUACGUCCCUGCCCUUUGUACACACCGCCCGUCGCUACUACUGAUUGGAUGUUUAAGCGAGGUUCUCGAACUGCUAGCGACUUAGCUUCGGUGAGGUCGCAGUGUGGGUAGUGAACCUAGCUUUGGUGUCUAGAGGAAGUAAAAGUCGUAACA